Molecule: long non-coding RNA, 866 nt
Filed under: Chrysolophus pictus (golden pheasant)
Lineage: Eukaryota; Metazoa; Chordata; Aves; Galliformes; Phasianidae
Description: lncRNA (ENSCPIG00010009428.1)
Source: RNAcentral
UCUGUAUGUAGAUUCUACAUGGGAAUUUCUGCGGUUGAUUCUUGACCUCUCAAUGAAAGUCCUGAAGCAAGAUGGAAAGUAUUUCACACAGGGAAACUGUAUCAAUCUGACCGAUGCCUUGACUCUGUAUGAAGAACAACUUAAUAGGCUUUACUGUCCUGUGGAGUUCUCAAAAGAAAUUGUGUGUGUCCCCUCCUACAUGGAAUUGUGGGUGUUCUACACUAUUUGGAAGAAACAAACUGAAGUCUGAACAUCAAGAUUAUUCUAAAUGUACAUGCUACAUGAAGCAUAUAGGCCUGCCACAUGGUGCAUAUUGGCAUCUGGAACCUUUAAAUUAUAUGCUGUAGAUGAUCCUGAAACUUAGUCAUGCUAUUGAUUGUGAAUUCUUUUAAAUGUUUUUUUAUUGUUAUUUUAAUUUAAAAGCAAAUGAAAAAUGUAUAUUUUGAUGAGCUAGGGUGUUAUUUUUGAAAGUCAACUUAAAGAUGAGUAAGCAGCAAAACUAUAUAGCUGCUGAAUGCACUGAACCUUUAGAAUGUGAUCCUUUUUAGUUUUUGUAGAUCUUCACAAACUUAUUGAUUAAAAAAGACAUCUUGAGCAUUUCAUCCCUGAAGGUGGUCCAUGGAGCUUGUUUUUUUGUUUUUGACCAGAUUAUUUUUUUAAUCUGUAGUGCUUUUGAUAAUGGAGGGCUUUUUUUUUUUUUGGUAGUUGAAAUUUAAUACUGCAGUGUUUUCAUUUAGAGAAGACAGGCAUAACAAAAAAAAAGAAAAAGGGGUGGGAGAGUGGAAUGGGGCCUCCUGAAAGAAUACCCCCACAUUCUUCAUUGGAAAGGGAAUAAAGCUAGAAAGCUGAUUUUAAACUUUAUUUCC